Molecule: unclassified non-coding RNA, 329 nt
Filed under: soil metagenome
Description: partial contains 5.8S ribosomal RNA, internal transcribed spacer 2, and large subunit ribosomal RNA
Rfam family: 5.8S ribosomal RNA (bases 1-120)
Source: RNAcentral
GAUGAAGAACGCAGCGAAAUGCGAUAAGUAGUGUGAAUUGCAGAAUUCAGUGAAUCAUCGAAUCUUUGAACGCACAUUGCGCCCCUUGGUAUCCCGAGGGGCAUGCCUGUUCGAGCGUCAUUUCACCACUCAAGCCUGGCUUGGUGUUGGGCGACGUCCUCUUUGGGGACGCGCCUCGAAACGCUCGGCGGCGUGGCACCGGCUUUAAGCGUAGCAGAAUCUUUCGCUUUGGAAGUCGGGGCCCCGUCUGCCGGAAGACCUGCUCGCAAGGUUGACCUCGAAUCAGGUAGGAAUACCCGCUGAACUUAAGCAUAUCAAUAAGCGGAGGA